CUACUACUCGGGAGGUGCCUACUACUACGUGCAGCCCGCUGACGACGACCAGGAGUAGUUUAGGAGGACCCCAGGCAGGAGGCAUGCGCCUCUUUCGAUUUGUAUCCCGGUUUGUGCUAGCCUUCUUAAGGCAAACUUGUUUAACUUAUGUCUGUACUCAGAUAUUGUUGCUUCCGCUGACUCGUCUAUGAUCGAGCUUUUGUAUUCGAGCCUUCGAGGCCCCUGGCUUGUAAUAUGAUGCUUGUAUGACUUAUUUUAUUUGUAGAGUUGUGUUGUGAUAUCUUCCCGUGAGUCCCUGAUCUUGAUCGUACACGUUUGCGUGUAAGAUUAGUGUACGAUUGAAUCGGGGGCGUCACAAGUUGGUAUCAGAGCCGACUGCCUGUAGGAAUCCCCCUUCCACACUCUUUGGCCGAAGUUGAGUCUAGUCAUUGCAAAACUUUUACUAACAUGACUGUGCGGCUUACGGGCCCACGUCGCCAUUGGGUGGUAGUAGGAUCUUUUAUUCCUUGACCUAUACUCUGGGACUCUGACAUCUCUUCUAUUCGGGUUAAAUGAAUUUACUAAAACUCUAACAUUAGGUUCUCGUAAUUACUUUCUCCCGGAGAGCCUCUUCAGUCCAGAUGAUCGCUGGCUGCACCAGAAUAUUUUGAAGAUACUCUCCGAUGUUUCCCUGAGACCCUUGUGCCCUUCGCCGUUGCACUUCCAUACCACCGACAAAUCCCUAUGGAAGGCUACAUACACUUGUCGUCCAUAACUUCAUUUCCAGUUGUUGUUGUUAUUACAAUAUACACUGAAAUACUUUGGAUAUUCCGAGGAUCCUUUGUGUCUACUGUCUUGCGGCUCCUUUUCCUCAUGAAUACAUGUAUGAAUAAUUCCUCGCAUUUGCCGGGGAUUCGUUCAUCUCCAGUUGUUCAGGUAUUUCGCAAAAUUCUUCGAAAUGCCAUUCGAUCUUCCAAAAUCCUCAGUAGCCUAUUGCUCUUGAUCUUCUUUACCUGCUUGCAUAAUGGUUAAUUCCAUAUGUCAAGCAAUAUUCGUUAAAAUCCUUGUGAUGAACAUUCUGACCAUAUUGAUUCAGCAUGUGUGUGAAUGCACGCAAUCAUCAGUUGAUCCUUAUAAAUUAUCUUUUCGGCUCGGAUGUCUUCCCAAACAUGAGCUGGUUUCGACCAUUCAAAUAGUUGUUGAUUGUACCCCUAAAGCGACUCAACUUAUCCAACCCUAAUCAGAGUGUUGCUUCAGAUCCCUUGAUUUAAAAAUCAUAAUUCCGUUGCAUUUGAGCUUAAAUUAGUCAGUUGUUUCUAUGGUCUGAUCUUCUUACCUUUUUCUUCCUCUGGUUGAGUACCGAUGCUCACAUUAGAUCCCUUGUGGACCACCAGAUCCUUUGUUGGAUUUUAUUCGACACCGUCCUUCAUAUUCAUUAAACAUUGUGAGCUUUUCUUCGGAUACAUAAUGCCUUUGGUAAAUUGUAUCCUCUGCUUUGUGAACCAUGCUCUACUUUCGAACUUGUAUUACUUACUCCGAAGUUUGUGGUAUAUUUUCCUAAGAUGCCCUGAUGGGUUGAACCUACGCCUUCCCUAAUCCAUGUGAACCGGAAAGAUUUCACAGGUCAUACUUAUCUGGUAUUGCACCAGGUAAAACUUUCAACAACUAAUGUCAUUUUCAAAAGGCGAGAAGUGAAUGGAAGGUUAUACAUUGAAGAAGUGGGAGUCGACCUUGAACCUUGUGUUCAUGCCCAUGGAAAUGAUGUAGAUCUUAUCAUUGAAGCUUCUCUUACAUUAAUUAUCCCCUUGGUAUAAGUUCAUCUCAUAUAUGGGAUCUGGCCUUUUGCAAUCGUGGUUCCGACCAUGUUCUCCUUUAAAUACCAUUUCGUGUGCAAGUUUAAGCGCCUGUCUUCUGUAGAGCAAUACCCCAGUCCAACCUCUACUUUGAUCUGUCAUCGAGUAUUACCCCCUCUGGUAUCUCAAGAUUAUCACGGAACUGCAUAACUUCUUAUGAGUCCUUCUUCAAGUAUUAUUUGACUUUUGCUGCACCAUCAUUUGACUUGAUGUCAUAGCCGACCGAUUACAUCUUCAUGAAAUCUCUCAACAAUUGUGUCGUGAUCAUCAUCAAUCUUAUGAGCUCUUCUAGGAUAUCAAUCGAAUUCAUGAUGAGAAAUACCAUCCUUGCCCCUCGAUGAAUUGUGUUAUCAUCGACAACUUUAUUGCCUUCCCUCCAACACAAACUUGUUCGUGUUCUGUGCUAUACCUUGAGUUCCUUGCUAUCCAACAUUUGGUCUUCUUUACCUUGGAGUAUUACCAUCUUUUAUAUCAAGGAUGUCGUGCUUAGCACACCCGGCCGGAGGCCCUAUGGUUAUAGAUUCCUUUUCAGCAAGGUUAUCCAUUCUUCCAUGAGGAAAUUGUAAGACUUAUUCUACAAGUUAUUCCUGAUGGAUCCUUUGUGUUUCCAAAGUCUGACCUUUGCCUGAAGACCAUGUCCAUGCUAUCUCGAAGCAUAUAUAUGGUACUCCUAUUUUCAACAAGAACAUUUAAAGCCUAAUGUUAAAUGUUUCCUGCUCAAUUAUCCAAACACCGAUGUAUGGGUAAUGUCUUUAAAGUUCUCUCCCUUUCCUAAAUGGUUUUCUACCUUCUAUCCUGUCAUGGAUAUCAUCUGCUUGUCCUUGGGAAGGAUAUACCCUUAAAAUAUGUGUUUAAACACAUGUUCUUUUCCAUUGUUCUGUUAAUCUGAUGAUCACAUUUUCCUUUCCAUUGUUUUGUUUAACCUUUCUGGUGAUCUAUAUGAUCUAAGCAGUAAUGUUCUUCUGCUUAUGUAAACACCUUGGUGUACAACCGUGUCAGUAAGACCCUGUUGCUUUUGUUGAUAGCAUUCCGGUAACCACCGAUGGACGAGAACUUUGCCUAUUGGUCCGCCUCGUUCAACGAGCAGGAAAAUGGUUCUCUUCGUCCCUCGCCCUUGGUACCGAUGUUAUUGUUGACAUAAAUGACAGGCUAUCCUCUGACAUGCCUUGUUAUCAUGACUGUGCAAAAUAUCACUGCCCUUUCUACUUUUAACCCACAUGAUGGGCCCAUAACCCACAAUUCCACAUGAUCGAAACCUGACUCUCCUGUACACCCCUUGUUCCCAAGGUUGUUCCUCGUGCGUGGCCUCGUAUGUAAUCCAUGAGCCACCUUCCGAGAGAUCAUCAAUUCUGGCAUCAGACACAAUACUUAUUCCCAUUGCUCUGAACCCCUUUAACACUUUGUUUUGGGCAACGAACGAUUGCCUAUGUGCUUGAAACUUCUAUUUUGCCCCUUCUUAUUUUGCUCUCGAAAAUUUCUUAAGUUUCAAUUCGAGAGUUACUUUCCCCCACUUUCCCUGAGGUCAUCUACCAGAUAAGCAACCUUGUAGAGGUUGGUCCUUUCGAAGCUACCCCUUAUAAUUUUCGUACAUACGAUGGCGAUCCUAAAGAAGGGAUGCCGGCUUCAUCAUGAUGACUGAAGCAUAGGAAUGAAGACACCAAUGUUACGGAUCGACCUCUUCGAGAAGAGCAACAAAGAUCAAGAAGCAUCAUUAGGAUUUCGUAACAUAUUCUUCCCCCUUACUCCUCUCUUAAAUCUCGGGACGAGAUUUCUUAUAGUGGAGGAGAAUUGUGACGCCCGGAUAAUUAAGCUACAGUAACUCCACGCUAAUGAUGCCAAGGCAUCAUCAUUAUAAAAAAAAUCAAUCAAGAAAUAUUUCAAACUCAAUUCAAAUUCAAGUUUCAAGAUAAGUUUUCAUUUCUUAAAACUGUCAAACAGAAAUGUUCGCUGGGUUGCAAAUAUUCACUAUUUAGUUUCAUGCAUAAACAUACAUUAUUUGAGUUAAUAAAUCGCCUCCAACCUAUUAAAAACUGGACCAAAACAAUCCCAUUUAACCUAUUUACUUUUAAGCAAAAUUCAAGUGAGUUCAACUAAGCUCCAAACUUUUUAUGGCAAGGCCAAAUAUUGCAUUGCAUUUAUUGGCCAAGUUCCAUUAUCUGCAAAAGUCAUUUGAUGGUUUAUUUAAAUACAAAAACUGUUUCUGUAAAAGAAAAGGUAGAAAAACAAGAAAAUAGAAGAAGGCCUAAAACUACUUUGCCGCUGGGCCUAGCCCAACAGGCCGAUCCAGCCAGCCCAACCCCCACCCCAGUUGAUCGCCCUGUUCCCCCGACUAGUCGCUACAGGGGCGAGCCCCGCCGGACCAGCUCGUCGGCAUGGGGAAGGGGAUAAGGACUGCCCCGCCUCCUCGGUCCUCGCCCCCUGCUCCACUCCCCCACUUCCCCAGAUCCGCCUUCCCUUCUCGUUCCUCGCUCCUCCUUCCUCCCUUCCGCUCGGGACUCACCUUGCCGGGCGUGUCCGUCACCGGCCACCUCGCCUGGUCGCGCCCACCAAGGUCCCCAGCGCUUGAGGAUGUGUCGAGCAGCCACGUAGUCAUCGACUACGUCGGUUACAUGGACGGGAUCCACCCUGGAGCGCCUGCAUCGCCGCCACGCCUCGUCUUCUUCUUCCUCGGCUCCGACGCACUCCGCGACGGUUCGGAGCCAGCGAGCCUUCCCCGAGCUUCCUUUUGCACACCUACAGGCUCCCGGUGAGCCGCGCGUCCCCUCCUCCCGUUCUCCUCUACUCCCGUUGACGAACACCCCCCGUAGCCACCGUCCCCGAGCACACCCGAGCUCUCCCGUACGUGUACGCGUACACAUACGUGUGUGCCGCGCUGCUGGUCCUUGCUGAUGCUGCUUUGCACCUGCUGCCGUCUCCGGCUACUGUCGCGCUAUGCCGCCCCUGCCCAUGCUCGGCUCGCCCCGCACGCGCGCCCACUGGUCGUUGCCUGCCGCUCGCCUUGCGCCCACGCGCGCACCCGCUCCGCCUGCUAUAGUCGCGCUCACCAUAAUUGCAGCCAUGUCGCGCGCGCUCCGUCACUGCGUGCACCACGCCGGCCAUGCCCGCUUUCGCCUGAACGCGCCCGCCUCUGCACGGCCUCGCCGGGUCCGUGCGUCGCCCGCUGCGCUGCAGCCGCCGCCGCCUACUGCGCUCGCUAGCACCGCGCAGCACCACUGCUUGCCCGAAGCUGCAGCUGCUCAUGCCCGUCCCUGGCCACACGGGCGGUUGACUGCGCCAUGGCCGGGCCGGCUUCGCCGGUAGCUACUCUGUUGCCGCUGCCUGCUGCUAUGCAGCACUGCUACAGUAACAUUCAGUUACUGUAGCAGUAGCUAGCUUUACUGACUUUACGCUGACUAGCUCUCUAAACAGCCCCUAAACAGCAUUAAGACAAGUCCUAAGAUGGGUAAAAAUUAUAUGAACGAAAAGUAGACAUAACAAGCUUCAUUUUGUUCCAUUGGACCUGUUUCAGAUAAUGCAUGGAUUAAAUCCUACAAAAAAUCACAAAAUGCUAUCUUGUGUUAAAAGGAAUAGAGUUACUCCCUGGCAUAGUGUGUGUACGUGAGUGUGUAGUGUGUAGGCACCACAGCCGUGUGUGGCCGGCUAUGCCACACCCUGGCCAGCUUUUUAGUUAGUUUAUAAUUAGUAGUACUAGCUAAUUUAUCCAAUAGUAGAUGACAUGUGGACCCACUAAUGGUUUAGAGAAAAACAAAUUUAAAAUAAUUGUCUAAGUGAACGACAUGUGGCCCCGUACACUGUUCAUAUGUUGACUAGUUAAUCUUUGACUGGGUCAACCCAACCCCUGGCCCCACUGUCAUACACUAUGCUAGAAUAGCACUAGGAGACAAAAUUAUUUUACUGUGUAAUUUCUAAAUAUAAGUAAAUUCAAAAAAAAUAUAAAUUAAUCCAUAACUCGGUUGAAAAUACUUUGUACAUGAAAGUUGCUCAGAACGACGAGAAGAAUCCGGAUACGCAGCCCGUUCGUCCGCCACGCAUCCCUAGCAUAGUGAACACACAACUUUCCCCCUCCGGUUCAUCUGUCCGAAAACGCGAAACGCCGGGAAUACUUUUCCGGAUGUUUCCCCCCUUCACCGGUACCACCUCGUACCGCGUUAGGGCACACCUAGCCUAACGCUUUGUCAUGUCAUGCAUCGUCAUGCAUUUGUUUGUGUUAUAAUUAUUGUUUCUUCCCCCUCUUCUCUCGCUAGACACCGAGACAGAUGUCGCUGCUACCCAGUACGACUACGGUGUUGACGACCCCUCUCUCUUGCCAGAGCAACCAGGCAAGCCCCCCCCCUUGAUCACCAGAUAUCGCCUAUUCUUCUCUAUACUGCUUGCAUUAGAGUAGUGUAGCAUGUUACUGCUUUUAGUUAAUCCUAUACUGCUGCAUAGCCUGCCCUUGCUACCACUGUUGUUACCUUUACCUGCUAUCCUACUGCUUAGUAUAGGAUGCUAGUGUUCCAUCAGUGGCCCUACACUCUUGUCCGUCUGCCAUGCUAUACUACUGGGCCGUGAUCACUUCGGGAGGUGAUCACGGGCAUAUACUAUAUACUUUACACUGUUACAUUACCGGUGAUACUGUUUGGAGAUGGGGGCUGAAGGGGCAGGUGGCUCCAUCCAGGUAGUGGUGGGCCUGAGUUCCCGACGGCUCCCGACUGUUACUUUGUGGCGGAGCGGCAGGGCAGGUUGAGACCACCUAGGAGAGAGGUGGGCCUGGCCCUGGUCGACGUUCGCGAAUACUUAAACACGCUUAACGAGAUCUUGGUAUUUGAUCUGAGUCUGGCCACUGGCUUAUACGCACUAAUCAUCUACGCGGGGACAGUUAUGGGCACUCGACGUCGUGGUAUCAGCCGAAGCCUUCGUGACGUCAGCGACUGAGUGGCGCGCGCCGGAUUGGACCGUAAGCCUGCUCUUGUAUUAAGGGGGCUAGUUCUGCUUCCAGCCGCGUUCGUAAUGUGCAGGUGUGCAAAGGGCGAUGGGCCCAGACCCCUGCGCCAUAGGAAUUAGACCGGCGUGCUGACCUCUCUGUUGUGUCUAGGUAGGGCUGCGACGUAUUGAUCUUCCGAGGCCGGGCAUGACCCAGGAAAGUGUGUCCGGCCAAAUGGGAUCGAGCGUGUUGGGUUAUGUGGUGCACCCCUCCAGGGAAGUUAAUCUAUUCGAAUAGCCGUGAUCUUCGGUAACAGGACGACUUGGAGUUGUACCUUGACCUUAUGACAACUAGAACCGGAUACUUAAUAAAAUACACCCUUCAAAGUGCCAGAUACAACCGGUGGUCGCUCUCUCACAGGGCGACGAGGGGAGGAUCAUCGGUUAGGAUUAUGCUAUGCGAUGCUACUUGGAGGACUUCAGUCUACUCUCUUCUACAUGCUGCAAGACGGAGGCUGCCAGAAGCGUAGUCUUCGACAUGACUAGCUAUCCCCCUCUUAUUCCGGCAUUCUGCAGUUUAGUCCUCAUAUGAUACCCUUAUUCCAUUUGAUACCAAUGCAUACAUAUGUAAUGUAGCUCCUUGCUUGCGAGUACUUUGGAUGAGUACUCACGGUUGCUUUGCUCCCUCUUUUCCCACUUUCUAUACCCGAUUGCUGCGAACAGACGUUGGAGUCCAGGAGCCAGACGCCACCAUUGAUGAUGACUCCUACUACUCGGGAGGUGCCUACUACUACGUGCAGCCCGCUGACGACGACCAGGAGUAGUUUAGGAGGACCCCAGGCAGGAGGCAUGCGCCUCUUUCGAUUUGUAUCCCGGUUUGUGCUAGCCUUCUUAAGGCAAACUUGUUUAACUUAUGUCUGUACUCAGAUAUUGUUGCUUCCGCUGAUUCGUCUAUGAUCGAGCUCUUGUAUUCGAGCCUUCGAGGCCCCUGGCUUGUAAUAUGAUGCUUGUAUGACUUAUUUUAUUUGUAGAGUUGUGUUGUGAUA
Molecule: long non-coding RNA, 7780 nt
Filed under: Triticum aestivum (bread wheat)
Lineage: Eukaryota; Viridiplantae; Streptophyta; Magnoliopsida; Poales; Poaceae
Description: long non-coding RNA (TAES_LNC005623)
Source: RNAcentral